RNAcentral lists this ribosomal RNA (273 nucleotides) under Escherichia coli. RNAcentral describes it as "partial 16S ribosomal RNA". It matches the Rfam family "Bacterial small subunit ribosomal RNA", at positions 1 to 270 of the family's 1533-position model. Lineage: Bacteria; Pseudomonadati; Pseudomonadota; Gammaproteobacteria; Enterobacterales; Enterobacteriaceae. The record is from RNAcentral.
AAAUUGAAGAGUUUGAUCAUGGCUCAGAUUGAACGCUGGCGGCAGGCCUAACACAUGCAAGUCGAACGGUAACAGGAAGAAGCUUGCUUCUUUGCUGACGAGUGGCGGACGGGUGAGUAAUGUCUGGGAAACUGCCUGAUGGAGGGGGAUAACUACUGGAAACGGUAGCUAAUACCGCAUAACGUCGCAAGACCAAAGAGGGGGACCUUCGGGCCUCUUGCCAUCGGAUGUGCCCAGAUGGGAUUAGCUUGUUGGUGGGGUAACGGCUCACCA